GUGUGUGUGUGUGUGUGUGUGUAUGUAUCUAUAUAUAUAUACAUAUAUAUAUAUAUGUAUAUAUAUAUAGAUACAUAUACACUCACACAAACAC
Non-coding RNA from Pelobates cultripes (western spadefoot toad), 94 nucleotides. The record is from the annotation of a GenBank genome assembly. Lineage: Eukaryota; Metazoa; Chordata; Amphibia; Anura; Pelobatidae.